Molecule: unclassified non-coding RNA, 240 nt
Filed under: soil metagenome
Description: partial contains 5.8S ribosomal RNA, internal transcribed spacer 2, and large subunit ribosomal RNA
Source: RNAcentral
AACGGUCUAUACCUGCGGUACCUGCGGAGGGAUCAUUAUAGAAAAAAAACCUUUUAACAGAAGUGAUGAGAGAAAAGAGGGGGAGAGGGGAGAGAGAAUGAGUUAAUUCUCAUUCUCACUCACUCACUCACUUUCUCUCUCUUGUCAUUUCUGAACAAACAAACAUACGUGACUAAGAAAAACCAAAGAUUGAGAGAUUUGAUUUGAUAUCUCUCUCAAAAGUUCCUGUCUGAUAAGUAG